GAGGUUGUGGCUCAGUGGUAGAGCGGCUUGCCUAGCAUGCAUGAGGCGCACUGGGUUCAAUCCUCAGCACUACA
RNAcentral lists this transfer RNA (74 nucleotides) under Marmota monax (woodchuck). RNAcentral describes it as "tRNA.Ala". The record is from RNAcentral. Lineage: Eukaryota; Metazoa; Chordata; Mammalia; Rodentia; Sciuridae.